GUGGGGAAUUUUGGACAAUGGGCGCAAGCCUGAUCCAGCAAUGCCGCGUGCAGGAAGAAGGCCUUCGGGUUGUAAACUGCUUUUGUACGGAACGAAACGGUCCUGGUUAAUACCCGGGGCUAAUGACGGUACCGUAAGAAUAAGCACCGGCUAACUACGUGCCAGCAGCCGCGGUAAUACGUAGGGUGCAAGCGUUAAUCGGAAUUACUGGGCGUAAAGCGUGCGCAGGCGGUGAUGUAAGACAGUUGUGAAAUCCCCGGGCUCAACCUGGGAACUGCAUCUGUGACUGCAUUGCUGGAGUGCGGCAGAGGGGGAUGGAAUUCCGCGUGUAGCAGUGAAAUGCGUAGAUAUGCGGAGGAACACCGAUGGCGAAGGCAAUCCCCUGGGCCUGCACUGACGCUCAUGCACGAAAGCGUGGGGAGCAAACAGGAUUAGAAACCCCAGUAGUCC
This 450-nucleotide ribosomal RNA is filed under the name uncultured bacterium. RNAcentral describes it as "partial 16S ribosomal RNA". It matches the Rfam family "Bacterial small subunit ribosomal RNA", at positions 354 to 796 of the family's 1533-position model. The record is from RNAcentral.